RNAcentral lists this ribosomal RNA (428 nucleotides) under uncultured archaeon. RNAcentral describes it as "bacterial SSU rRNA". It matches the Rfam family "Archaeal small subunit ribosomal RNA", at positions 474 to 903 of the family's 1478-position model. The record is from RNAcentral.
UACCAGCUCUCCGAGUGGUGUGGAUGUUUAUUGGGCCUAAAGCAUCCGUAGCUGGCUGGACAAGUCCCCUGUUAAAUCCACCGAUUUAAUCGUUGGUGUGCGGGGGAUACUGUUCGGCUAGGGGACGGGAGAGGCCGACGGUAUUUCCGGGGUAGGGGUGAAAUCCUAUAAUCCCGGGAAGACCACCAGUGGCGAAGGCUGUCUGCUAGAACGCGCCCGACGGUGAGGGAUGAAAGCUGGGGGAGCGAACCGGAUUAGAUACCCGGGUAGUCCCAGCUGUAAACGAUGCAGGCUAGGUGUUUGGACGGCCACGUGCCGUUCUAGUGCCGCAGGGAAGCCGUUAAGCUUGCCGCCUGGGGAGUACGGCCGCAAGGCUGAAACUUAAAGGAAUUGGCGGGGAGCACCACAAGGGGUGAAGCUUGCGGUUU